This is a small nucleolar RNA of Gossypium arboreum, 107 nucleotides long. It matches the Rfam family "Plant small nucleolar RNA R71". From Rfam's summary of the family: R71 is a member of the C/D box family of snoRNAs containing the C (UGAUGA) and D (CUGA) box motifs. The record is from Rfam. NCBI's taxonomy places the organism in Eukaryota, Viridiplantae, Streptophyta, Magnoliopsida, Malvales, Malvaceae.
AACCUAUGAUGAGGGCAUCUUCUUAAGAGAUCCUUAAAUCUCUCUCAUGCAUCAUAUACUGUGUCCAGCUCAAUUUGGGCAAACAAAGUGAUGUCACUCCUCAACUU